Molecule: ribosomal RNA, 513 nt
Filed under: Aspergillus niger
Lineage: Eukaryota; Fungi; Ascomycota; Eurotiomycetes; Eurotiales; Aspergillaceae
Description: SSU rRNA
Rfam family: Eukaryotic small subunit ribosomal RNA
Source: RNAcentral
AAAUUAAGCCAUGCAUGUCUAAGUAUAAGCACUUUAUACUGUGAACUGCGAAUGGCUCAUUAAAUCAGUUAUCGUUUAUUUGAUAGUACCCUACCACAUGGAUACCUGUGGUAAUUCUAGAGCUAAUACAUGCUGAAAACCUCGACUUCGGAAGGGGUGUAUUUAUUAGAUAAAAAACCAAUGCCCUUCGGGGCUCCUUGGUGAAUCAUAAUAACUUAACGAAUCGCAUGGCCUUGCGCCGGCGAUGGUUCAUUCAAAUUUCUGCCCUAUCAACUUUCGAUGGUAGGAUAGUGGCCUACCAUGGUGGCAACGGGUAACGGGGAAUUAGGGUUCGAUUCCGGAGAGGGAGCCUGAGAAACGGCUACCACAUCCAAGGAAGGCAGCAGGCGCGCAAAUUACCCAAUCCCGACACGGGGAGGUAGUGACAAUAAAUACUGAUACGGGCUCUUUUGGGUCUCGUAAUUGAAUGAGUACAAUCUAAAUCUUAACGACUUGGAGGGCUGUCUGGGCGCG